RNAcentral lists this ribosomal RNA (421 nucleotides) under uncultured bacterium. Its description in RNAcentral is "bacterial SSU rRNA". It matches the Rfam family "Bacterial small subunit ribosomal RNA", at positions 355 to 774 of the family's 1533-position model. The record is from RNAcentral.
UGAGGAAUAUUGGUCAAUGGACGAGAGUCUGAACCAGCCAAGUAGCGUGAAGGAUGACUGCCCUAUGGGUUGUAAACUUCUUUUAUAUGGGAAUAAAAAAGGCCACGUGUGGUCUAUUGUAUGUACCUUAUGAAUAAGCAUCGGCUAAUUCCGUGCCAGCAGCCGCGGUAAUACGGAAGAUGCGAGCGUUAUCCGGAUUUAUUGGGUUUAAAGGGAGCGUAGGCGGGCGAUUAAGUCAGCGGUAAAAUAGUGUGGCUCAACCAUACUGUGCCGUUGAUACUGGUUGCCUUGAGUGCACACAAGGAAGAUGGAAUUCGUGGUGUAGCGGUGAAAUGCUUAGAUAUCACGAAGAACUCCGAUUGCGAAGGCAGUCUUCUGGGGUGUUACUGACGCUGAGGCUCGAAAGUGCGGGUAUCAAACA